Long non-coding RNA from Homo sapiens (human), 231 nucleotides. RefSeq lists it as uncharacterized. NCBI's taxonomy places the organism in Eukaryota, Metazoa, Chordata, Mammalia, Primates, Hominidae. The record is from RefSeq and is a predicted model, not a curated record. The transcript has 3 exons.
CUGAGAGCUCUCUGAAAGCAGGGUCGGCUGAGGUCACUGUUGUAUCCCCAGCUGCUAGAACAGUGCCAGGCUCAUAGAAAACUCUGGCGCUUCUAAAGGGAACUCCACCCAAGCCCAGCUCCAGCAGGAAAUACCAAAAACUGCCCCUCUGUAGUUUGGGUCAUGGCACUCUUGCAUGAAGGAAAGGAGUAACAACUAAACCGGAGAUUUUUACUUCAGUGAUGGUUGAAG